CACAUGGGUUAGUCGAUCCUAA
This 22-nucleotide small RNA is filed under the name Arabidopsis thaliana (thale cress). Its description in RNAcentral is "Ath_wt_07297". The record is from RNAcentral. Lineage: Eukaryota; Viridiplantae; Streptophyta; Magnoliopsida; Brassicales; Brassicaceae.